Patella vulgata (common limpet) is the source of this 2260-nucleotide long non-coding RNA. RefSeq lists it as uncharacterized. The record is from RefSeq and is a predicted model, not a curated record. NCBI's taxonomy places the organism in Eukaryota, Metazoa, Mollusca, Gastropoda, Patellidae. The transcript is spliced from 6 exons.
AAAAAGUCAGCGAUUAAAGACAACAUCGUCUUGUGUAUGCAAUGCAUUUACUAUUUUAGUGUAUACGUGUAGUCAGUGCCGGACUGGGGCCACCUGUCCACCUGUCCGUGACAGGUGGGCCUAAGCUCAUUAAAAAAAAGUGGGCCUAAGCCUAUAAACAAAAAAGAAAAAAGAGAAAGAAAGGAGAGGGGGGAGAAAAGAAAGAAAGAAGGAGUGGGCAGGACACAGGACUGGAGAAAGAAAAAAUAGGAAAAAAAUGACUGACAAACAACACAAAAAAAGAAGUGUACUAGAAUUCUCAAAUUCAUCUAAUGAUAGUGCUCUUAGGUCAUUCUGUUAUCUAAUUGUACCAGGAAAUCAAAAAUUUGCCUUCUUCUGCUUUGGUCUGAAAUGCUUGGAAAAUGGGUUUGCGGUUGACAAUUUUCAAACCUUUUCUGGGAGAAGAAGCCACCCAGACCCCCCUCGGACGUUUUCGCGCCUUUGGCACGCUCGUGACGCGCCGUCGGCGCGUACUUGUGUGGGUCUUGGUCAAUGACCUGACAGAGUCCAGCAGUGCAUGUAGUUAAGACCAUGCCUUCCACUUUGGAAUGGUGAAUGACUCAUGUCUUAUGUGCCUUACUACUGGAAUGACCCCUGUUAGCCCUGUACUGAAGUCAAAGGGCAUUCCCGAACUUAGGGUACUUCCACUGAACUCAGUGGCAUGUCUGGAAUUUUAUGCUUAUUCUGAUAGGCGACGGCCAAGGUUUGGAUAUCUUGAGAAUUUUCACUUGGUUUCCGGCUCUGGGUACACCAUAUAUUAAACCUUUCGAUAGUUGGAGAUUUCUGCAAUGGUUUUGUGUAAUAUCAUUAAGAAUCGAAUGAUUUUUCAAUGAUCAAUAAAGGAUGGGCAGGGAUGGAUUUAAUUUAUUCUCUAUGACAUGAAUGAUACAUUAAACCAUGUAAAAUAGACAUGCGCAUUCUUUUCUUUGUUUUGUAAUCAAUCGAAUACCCACCAGAAAUAUUAGCCAAUCACAGUGCAGGCUUGUAUAGCGAACACAUAGGUAGCUGAUUCUUUACAGGUGAUCUGAAUUAUGGAACGCCAAACUAACAUAAAAUCAAUUCACUGCCAAUGGGUCCCGUCAAUUAAAUGAAUAUUUGUAAAUUUGUCGUUCCAUACAGCUAGAGACGCCGAUUCGAACAACCCAGUCGCCUGGUAACCGUGGUGAGUACUUUUCAGAUACAAACUUAAGAAAGCAAACAUCCCCCAACCGUCCUUCAAUUUGAAAUUGAGCGGCCAAGUGAAAGCAUCUAUUCACAUUAGCCAAAUAUAGGAUACGUCUCUCAUCUCAAACAGACAUAUCUCCUGUUAUCGGUCGGACGAUGGCGGCGUGGUAGUUCUUCUUUGGAUUGCACUAAAGGAGACAAGAAGUUUAUGGUAUCAUAGAGAGGUCCACACACGUUAUUAUUUAUCUUAUACUGGGUCUGUCUUUAUAUUCUGGCUGGUUGAUGUGUAUAAGCUUGGCUUGUGCACCAGAUUCCUUUGUAAAUAUCAUGUGAAGUUUUCCAUGAUGUAUUAAUAGGUUUUUUUUGGUUGAAAGUUGUAGACAUGGGGAGUAAUUAAAUUGGGAUAUAUUAAUAUGGCAUCAAUCAACUAAUCCCACAUCUCCUUUAGGCAACUAAUAUUUUCUUUUUGGGGUUCUUCUUUUGUUUGUUUUUUUUUGCAUGUUUUUCACUGCAUUUGCUUAAGUAAGGGGUGCUAUAUUUAAUAUAUUCUGAUAUUUGGUUUAUCUUAGAUUUUUAAUGCCCUUAAUGUAUAUUGCAAAUUUCUCAUGAGAGUCCAGUAAAGAUAAUCUUGUAUAACGUGUUUCUAUGAUAAACUUAGAUGUAUUGUUGAUAGUGGGGUCUAGAGAGUUUACGGAUACAGGAUCGUGGGGAUAUGUUUGUAAGGGACGUAUGAAGACGGUGAUAGUUGUGGAUGAGCAUGACACACAGCAUAUUAUACAUGGAGGUAUUAUUGUACAGACAAUUGUUAUGCAAUCGAUGAGGACCACAACAAUGUUAAGACGCCGAAUGAUCAAUAUGACGAUUACCACUGGUAUAGGAGAACAGACAGGCUGUGAUUUGGAUGGAUGUCAAGCGGCAGUUUAUGGUACCGGGAACUCGACUGGGAAAUGGAAGUUGCAUAGGGAAAUUCUAGAUUGGCAAUAACAGGUUUAUGUUUUUUCUGUAUGUAUUGUAUAUAUACUAUUCAAAAAAAGUAGGGGAUAUUUGAUUUUUAAGU